GACGAACGCUGGCGGCGUGCUUAACACAUGCAAGUCGAACGAUGAAGCCGGAGCUUGCUCUGGUGAAUUAGUGGCGAACGGGUGAGUAACACGUGAGUAACCUGCACUUGACUCUGGGAUAACUGCGGGAAACUGUAGCUAAUACCGGAUACGACCCUCGGAGGCAUUCACUGGGGUUGGAAAGAAUUUCGGUCAAGGAUGGACUCGCGGCCUAUCAGCUAGUUGGUGCGGUAAAGGCUCACCAAGGCGACGACGGGUAGCCGGCCUGAGAGGGUGAACGGCCACACUGGGACUGAGACACGGCCCAGACUCCUACGGGAGGCAGCAGUGGGGAAUAUUGCACAAUGGGCGCAAGCCUGAUGCAGCAACGCCGCGUGAGGGAUGACGGCCUUCGGGUUGUAAACCUCUUUUAGCAGGGAAGAAGCGAAAGUGACGGUACCUGCAGAAAAAGCACCGGCUAACUACGUGCCAGCCGCCGCCGUAA
This 484-nucleotide ribosomal RNA is filed under the name uncultured bacterium. RNAcentral describes it as "partial 16S ribosomal RNA". It matches the Rfam family "Bacterial small subunit ribosomal RNA", at positions 28 to 523 of the family's 1533-position model. The record is from RNAcentral.